AUUAGAUACCCUAUUAUUUUUAUUGUAAAAUUUGUAUAAGCCGGAGUAUUAAAAGUUAUGGUCUUGAAACUUAAAGAAUUUGGCGGUAUUAUAGUCUAUUUAGAGGAAUCUGUUAUGUAAUUGAUAAUCCACGUUGAACCUUACUUAUAUUUUUUUCUGUAUACCUCUGUUUAAGAAUAUAUUUUUAGAUAAAUUUUCUGAAUAUAAAAAUAUUUAAAAUUUCAAGUCAAGGUGCAAUAAUAUAUGAGUUGAAUAAUGGAUUACAAUAAAUUUUAUUUAAAUGGAUUGUUAUUGAAAUAUAAUUAUGAAGGUGGAUUUAAUUGUAAUUUUAUGAAGAUUAUUAAAAUGACUUAUAGCUCUAUAAUAUGUACACAUCGCCCG
Molecule: ribosomal RNA, 381 nt
Filed under: Rhombodera stalii
Lineage: Eukaryota; Metazoa; Arthropoda; Insecta; Mantodea; Mantidae
Description: partial 12S ribosomal RNA
Source: RNAcentral